GAUGAACGCUGGCGGCGUGCCUAAUACAUGCAAGUCGAGCGAACGGACGAGCAGCUUGCUUCUCUGAUGUUAGCGGCGGACGGGUGAGUAACACGUGGAUAACCUACCUAUAAGACUGGGAUAACUUCGGGAAACCGUAGCUAAUACCGGAUAAUAUUUUGAACCGCAUGGUUCAAAAGUGAAAGACGGUCUUGCUGUCACUUAUAGAUGGAUCCGCGCUGCAUUAGCUAGUUGGUAAGGUAACGGCUUACCAAGGCAACGAUGCAUAGCCGACCUGAGAGGGUGAUCGGCCACACUGGAACUGAGACACGGUCCAGACUCCUACGGGAGGCAGCAGUAGGGAAUCUUCCACAAUGGGCGAAAGCCUGACGGAGCAACGCCGCGUGAGUGAUGAAGGUCUUCGGAUCGUAAAACACUGUUAUUAGGAAAGAACAUAUGUGUAAGUAACUGUGCACAUCUUGACGGUACCUAAUCAGAAAGCCACGGCUAACUACGUG
Molecule: ribosomal RNA, 497 nt
Filed under: uncultured bacterium
Lineage: Bacteria
Description: partial 16S ribosomal RNA
Rfam family: Bacterial small subunit ribosomal RNA
Source: RNAcentral